CUCCGUGUUUUAGCUAACGCGUUAAGCACUCCGCCUGGGGACUACGGUCGCAAGACUAAAACUCAAAGGAAUUGACGGGGACCCGCACAAGCGGUGGAGCAUGUGGUUUAAUUCGAUGCAACGCGAAAAACCUUACCACUCCUUGACAUGAAGGUUAAAUCCUCCUUAACAGGGGGGCUCAGUUCGGCUGGACCUUACACAGGUGCUGCAUGGCUGUCGUCAGCUCGUGUCGUGAGAUGUUGGGUUAAGUCCCGCAACGAGCGUAACCCUCAUCCUUAGUUGCCAGCGGGUAAUGCCGGGUACUUUAGGGAAACUGCCAGUGAUAAACUGGAGGAAGGUGGGGAUGAUGUCAAGUCAGCACGGCCCUUAUGGGGUGGGCUACACACGUGCUACAAUGGCGACUACAAUAGGUUGCAACGCCGCAAG
RNAcentral lists this ribosomal RNA (426 nucleotides) under uncultured Anaplasma sp. RNAcentral's name for it is "bacterial SSU rRNA". It matches the Rfam family "Bacterial small subunit ribosomal RNA", at positions 839 to 1261 of the family's 1533-position model. The record is from RNAcentral. Lineage: Bacteria; Pseudomonadati; Pseudomonadota; Alphaproteobacteria; Rickettsiales; Anaplasmataceae.